AGGCCAGGCCAGACCAGCCAGGGCCAGGCCUAGGCCUAGGCCUAGGCCCAGCCGCUUCUCGGUGCACUGGGAGCUCUCGCUUGGUCCAUGCUUAGAAGGAGCUUUAUUGCUGCCGCCAGCGCGACCUGCCCACGCCAGCCCGCUCCCUGGUAACUGCGGUGCCAGGCCACCUGUCUUUAGUGUGUGUGUCCCGGGAACCGGGGUGGCUAGGGCACAGGCCUGUUCCCGGGCUGUGCCUCCAGUCACGGUUGGGUGAUGCGCAGCGAAGCCCCCCGACACAGGCAUGCACACUGCACUGGGCUCGGGGAGCUCUGUCAACACACAGCCAGGUUUUACAGCUGUGCUUCCAGGGAAACGCUGCCCACCUUGAGCACUGCUGUCUGUGUUCCUGCCAUGCCCACAGCCUGUUUAACAGUCCAAACAUCAUCAUGUCCUGCCCUGUUGUUGCUGCAUGUAUGGUGUUUUCCACGGAGAAAGCACAUUUCCUGUCAUGGUGAAUGAGAGGCACAAUGGCAACCUGCUUGUGCACCUGGGACCCAAACUGCAGGCUUACCCGGAAGAGCUGCUCCGGCAGCGGCAAGGCC
This is a long non-coding RNA of Egretta garzetta (little egret), 584 nucleotides long. RefSeq lists it as uncharacterized. The record is from RefSeq and is a predicted model, not a curated record. The transcript has 3 exons. NCBI's taxonomy places the organism in Eukaryota, Metazoa, Chordata, Aves, Pelecaniformes, Ardeidae.